This 934-nucleotide small RNA is filed under the name Arabidopsis thaliana (thale cress). RNAcentral describes it as "ATSL271990". The record is from RNAcentral. Lineage: Eukaryota; Viridiplantae; Streptophyta; Magnoliopsida; Brassicales; Brassicaceae.
UAUGACUAGAUGUCAUGUGUAUGAGUGAGUGUAACAACUAGAACCGCAACUGAAUAUUAAAAGCCUAACUAUUGUAUCAUUGUUAGAAGAUACAAAGACAAAAACUCAUACGAACUUCGGCUACACCAUCAAAGCUUUGAGAAACAAGAAGAAGCUUUGUUAGUGUUUUGGAGUCGAAUAUAUCUUGAUGUGAUGUGUAUUAUUGAGUAUAAGAACAUAAACCGCAACCGGAGCUUAAAAGUCUAAGUAGUGUUUCCUUGUUAGAUGAUACAAAGCCAAAGACUCAUACGUAGUUUAGCUACACCAUCAAAGCUUUGAGAAGCAAGAAGAAGAUUGGUUAGUUUUUUGGAGUCGAAUAUGACUUGAUGUCAUGUGUAUGAUUGAUUAUAAGAACUUAAACCGUAACUAGAUCUUACAAGCCUAAGUAGUGUUUCCUUGUUAGAAGAUACAAACCCAAAGACUCAUACGGACUUCAUCUACACCAUCAAAACUUUUAGAAGCAAGAAGAGGCUUUGGUAGUAUUGUGGAGUCAAAUAUGACUAGAUGUCAUUUGUAUGAGUGAGUGUAACAACUAGAACCGCAACCGGAUCUUAAAAGCCUAACUAUUGUAUCCUUGUUAGAAGAUACAAAGACAAAGACUCAUACGGACUUCGGUUACACCAUCAAAGCUUUGAGAAGCAAGAAGAAGCUUGGUUAGUGUUUUGGAGUCGAAUAUAACUUGAUGUGAUGUGUAUGAUUGAGAAUAAGAACAUAAACCGCAACCGGAGCUUAAAAGUCUAAGUAGUGUUUCCUUGUUAGAAGAUACAAAGCCAAAGACCCAUACAGAGUUUAGCUACACCAUCAAAGCUUUGAGAAGUAAGAAGAAGCUUGGUUAGUGUUUUGGAGACAAAUAUGACUAGAUGUCAUGUGUAUGAGUGAGUAUAACAACUAGAAU